Molecule: long non-coding RNA, 4513 nt
Filed under: Homo sapiens (human)
Lineage: Eukaryota; Metazoa; Chordata; Mammalia; Primates; Hominidae
Description: HSALNT0233809
Source: RNAcentral
GUGGAGCAUUAACAUGCUUCCAGAAGUCAAAACUAUAUAAAGGAUAUACUCCGAGAAGUAUUCCUCCCUUCUGUACCCACUCCAUCUUGUUCCUCCUAGCCAGCUCUUGAAGAGUCGGAAAUUCACUCUAAACAGGAGAAGCAGCAAUGAGAACUUCAAGAAGAGAUAUAAGCUCAUCCAAGAUCAACUGCAGAGGAGGACGAGGGAAAUUUUAUAUGGGAACAAUUAUCUGAAAAAUACAAUAGAAGGCAACUGGAAAAGAGGCAAGGAUUCUAACUACAUACUGCAGAAAAAAUAUUCACACCUGUCAAAUUCCAACAGCUGGCAUUGUUGUUGUUCUACGAAUAAGCACACACAGAAUCCUCGUGAAUAGUUCUUUGUCUCUUGCUCUAGUAAAUCAUAACCUGCUUGUAGCUUUUUUAUGAACCUUCAGGAAUAACUCUUCAGAGGAUGCUAAUACAUCAUUAAGAUUAAAUUGAACCUCAAAGGUGGGUUUUUUUUCCAAAAUGAUAAAGGCCACCAACACUGCAAGGUUUGCCGUCAUUCCCUUGAUCUGGUAAGUGACACCGUCUUCAGGGUUUGUGUACUCAAAGAUAUGAUUAAUAAAACGGUGACCAAGACGUGUGACGUAAUGCUGGUCAUGGACCUGUGGAUGCAGGAAAUAGGCCAGAGGCACCAGGAAUACAUCCUUAACUUCAGCAGGAUUCGGCUGGGCCUGGAAGUUGUGGUCUAUUAAACCCACAAAUGGAGUUAUCAAUGUAUCUGUCUAAAAGCAGAAAACAAAACAGACAAAUUAAGAAGUGAAGUGAUACUGCUUCAAAUCCUAAAAUCAUGCCACUUCUAGGUGAGCUAAGAAAAUACACCGAACCUGGGAGAAGGGGAAGAAAGCUUAUUCCGGAAACAAAUUUAUGUUCCCCCUAAAAUGGGAGUCAUCCUGCUCUACCUGAGGUGACAUCUAUGAGAUGACUCUGAAAAUGAUUUCUUGUAUGAACAUAAAGUAGUACAAUCUUUUGGAAUGGCAAUUUGGCAGUAUCAUAAAAAUGUGUUCGCUUUGACCUGGGAAUUGCAUUUGUGUAUCUGUAUGAUAAAUUCCUACCAGUAAGAAAAGACACAAGUAUAAACCUGAAGAAUUAGUUUCAACAACAGCCCCAAAUUCUAAAGUUAUCACUCUUCACUUUAUAGGCAUUUAGGUUAUAUAAAUUAGGGUUAUAUCCAUAAAAGAGGAUACUAUGUAGCCUUUAAAAACAAUGGGAUAGACAUCUUUCCUUCUCAGUAAAGAAAAAAAUGUGCUAUACUUAUGAACAGAAAAGUAAAGUGAUAUAAUACUAGUUAUGACAUAUUCCCAUUUAUGGAAAAAUUUCAUAGUACAUACACAUAUAUAUAUAAUUAUGUGUCUUAUAUAUAACUAUAUGUGAACUACUUUAUAUAACACACAUGUAUAUAUUACAUGGGAGAGGGAUUUCUAUUUACAACCACAACUGCUUGCAAAUGAACAUGAGUGGCCGGGUGUGGUGGCUCACGCCUGUAAUCCCAGCACUUUGGGAGGCUGAGGUGGGCGGACCACCUGAGGUCAGGAGUUUGAGACCAGCCUAGCCAACAUGAUGAAAUCCCGUCUCUACUAAAAAUACACAAAUUAGCCGGGUGUGGUGGUGCGUGCCUGUAAUCCCAGCUACUCAGGAGGCUGAGGCAGGAGAAUUGCUUGAACUUGGGAGGCGGAGAUAGAUUGCAGUGAGCCGAGAUCAUGCCACUGCACUCCAGCCUGGGUGACAGAGAGAGGCCCAGUCUCAAAAAUAAAAAUAAAUAUAUAAAAGUAAAAAAGCAAAUGAACAUGAGUGUUGUCAAAUGAAAGACUGUUUUGUUAUACUGGAAACCCUGAGAGGGAGGCCUGGGGCUGAGUGAGGAUGUGGGAACUGGUAAGAGCUGCCUGCCUUUGUAUUAGAAAGUGAGAAGAACUGGAAUUCCUGGAGCAUCCCAAGAGGAAGUGGGUGGAAAAAGCCAGAGAGGUAGACACAUGGUGAGGCUGGGACCUAUCCGGCCUGCAGAAUGUUCUGAGGGACAGCCAAAGACAGGAAACCAAAUUUAGGAACAGAGACAACUCAGACCAUUAACCAAAAUAAUAGUGAAAGUCAACAUUUGGACCAGGAGGAGACAAGAGGAACAUAGACUUCGUAUGUCCUUGGGGCAGGAAAUUUGGGGUCAUUAAGUUACCCGAGGGCAGAGGCAACAUUCUACCAGCACGUAACACCACACCUGGCAUUGGGGAAAUGCUUAGUCUCUGAAUAUGGAGUUUUCCAGGUGGACUCUGAGAUAAGGACUCAGAUGCAAGUGAUUUUUUAAGAAAGUGCUCCCAGGGGAAACAGUUAAGGGGAAGAGGGGAGCAAUACUCAUAAGGGAAGAAGGCUGGCAAGGGCACCAUGGGGUGUUCUGGAGGGUAAAUUAAUAUGCAGUUUGUCCCACAUGGAGACAAGGGAGCUGGGAUUUCAUGCUCCCCAGCCCCAGUCAGUCACUGGUUAAGGACUACCUUGCCAGAGGUGAAUUCACAGGCACUCCCAGCUCUCUGUGCAGGACACAUGGCAAGGUGGCUCCAGUAUCAAGGGUACCAGUAUUCAGAAGAAAGCUGCCAAGUGUUGUCAGAGGCGUUUGAACCAGAGCAACUCCAUCUUGAAUAGGGGCUGGGUAAGAUAAGGCUUGGAGCUACUGGGCUGCAUUCCCAGGAGGUUAGGGCAUGCUUAGUCACCAGAUGAGACUGAGAUACAAGUCAUAAAGACCUUACAGUAAAGAAGGCCAUCAAAACGCACCAAAACCAAGAUGGCAAUGAAAGUAACCUCUGGUCAUCCUCACUGCUCAUUAUACGAUAAUUAGAAAGCAUUAGAAUGUUAAAAGAUACUCCCACUAGUGCCAUGACAGAUUACAAAUGCCACGGCAAUGUCAGGAAGUUACCCUACAUGGUCUAAAAAUGGGAGGAACUCUCACCUCUGGGAAUUGCCCAUCCCUUUCCUGGAAAACUCAUGAAUAACCCACCCCUUGUUUAGCAUAUGAUCAAGAAAUAACCAUAAAAAUGGCCAACCAGCAGCACAUGCUGUUGCUCUGUUAUGGAAUAGCCAUUCUUUUUUUUCUUUACUUCUCUAAUAAACUUGCUUUCACUUUAUGGACUCACCCUGUGAGAUCCUAGAACCCUCUCUUAGGGUCUGGAUCAGGCCCCCUAUCUGGUAACAGUGAGUUAUCAGAAGCCCUGGGGUUGUAAGAGGAAUAUGAAGGGGCCUGGACAGAGCCCCAACAAUGUAUGCUCAGUAAAUAUUCGUGGUUGCUGCUACCAUUGGUGACCACAACUUACGGGCACCUAGUCUAGUUCCCAGCACCCUCUGAUUCCUUACAACAAUCUGAUCGCGAAGAAGCCUUAACAACUACAAUUAGAGACGUGAAGAAACUUGCCCAAGGGCAUAUUCUGCUGAUACUUGGCAGAAACUGGAUUCGACCACAGAUGUGUUGCUCAUACUCCUGGGUAUAUUUCAGAGACCUUUGCAAAAAGUAGUACAUAAAUGUCUGACAAAAGGGAAAACUGGGGUGGGGGUUGUGGUGUCACAGCCUGCCUGGAAGGCUUAUGUAGCGGGUACAUACAUAGGUGCAUACAUACAUAGGUAGCUACUCUGGAGGCUGAGGCAGGAGAAUUGCUUGAACUUGGGAGGUGGAGGUUGCAGUGAGCUGAGAUCACUGGGACUCGAGAUCACUUGAGAAAAGCCAAUAGCACCCUUCCACUCCCAGCUAUGAUCUCCAGACAUUACCAAAUUCCCCAGGGUUGAAAAAUCACUCCAGGUUAAGAGCCACGUAGAUUAGAUUAUGCUUAUAAUUUUCAAUAAAUGGCAUUUUUGUGAUACAUUUUAAAAAUUAGCAGGGGCCAAAAAACAAAGCAACCCUCCCUUGCACUUCCAAACAAAGCAGACUUUUUAAAGCCUUUGUUUAAUCUCUCAAUCACGCCAUUUUAGAAAUCUCCUGUUCCAGGAGUAUCUGGCCCCCAGGAAUCUCCCAGAGACACUUUCCUGUUAAUGCUCCUGAAUUCUAUCCACCCACAUGCAGAACUCAGUAGCACCUGGGGACCUUGGGAACAGAGUUAGUCUCAUUUUGGAAACUUUUAAUCAGUAUAGCUAAAUUAGUUAAUUGAUUUCUAAAGUAAAUCCUCCAAAUGCUGGUGGAUUUGCGGAAAUCAACUGUAAAGAGUUCCCAUUAGAAAACCAAAUGGAAAAGUAAUUGACACAUUUCGUGUGUAAUCCCAUGUCUCCAUCUCGCUUUCAUACACACACACUUAGAAAACAUUUAUUGAGUGGCCACUAGCUUUUUGCAAACAAAACCACCCUUGGGUACUGACCUUUCUAUUUUUAAAAAGGACCCAAUUAAGACAGACAUUGUCUCAGCAUCACUGAUCUUCAAAACACUGCCCCACCAAGACUUCAGUCAAGUGGAACAUAAAGGAUCAUCUAACCCACUGGUUUUCUAAGUGUUAGGCAACAGUGGGACU